UCGCGCUUGGUUGAAAAGCCAG
Molecule: small nuclear RNA, 22 nt
Filed under: Arabidopsis thaliana (thale cress)
Lineage: Eukaryota; Viridiplantae; Streptophyta; Magnoliopsida; Brassicales; Brassicaceae
Description: snRNA_08119
Source: RNAcentral